RNAcentral lists this long non-coding RNA (1179 nucleotides) under Phascolarctos cinereus (koala). Its description in RNAcentral is "lncRNA (ENSPCIG00000032078.1)". The record is from RNAcentral. Lineage: Eukaryota; Metazoa; Chordata; Mammalia; Diprotodontia; Phascolarctidae.
GGAAAGUUCACCUUCAUCACUAGUCUGUCAGUCAAUAAGCAUCUAUUAAGCACCUACUGUGUGCCAGGCUUUACAAAUAUUAUCUCAUUUAGUCCCAUGGAAGAGCCAGGGCUGCUUUCUGGGACUAUGGUGGCAGGGAAAAGGUUUUCUGGAUGCAGUGAAAAGGCUGGUCAGGAGACAGAGGAUUGAAGCUGGGAUUCUUGGAAGAGCAUUUGGCCAUGUUUUGAAUUAUGUGAUUGUUUCUCUGGAUCAAAGAACAGGUUGGCAGACACUUGUUAAAGAAAGCACUAAAACCUUGCCGGGAUUUCCGAGUGGAUCUGCACAAGAGAGAAGAACUUUGAAGAAAUGGUUAUGAUAAUGCAUGUUAGCCAGGCCUCCCCUCAGUCAGAGGACAGAGGUCCCUGGGAGCACGGACGCGGCUGGGAGACGCUCGGGAGCUCGGCUCCUCAGUUUACAGAAGCCGCCGCGGCCGGUCACGUCUCCAACGUCACACAGGAAAACGCUUUCCCAGGGCGGCCUCAAGCCCGGCUCCGGCGACUCCGGGCUCCCUCGCUUUCCAGGCACCAGGUUUCAUUUUAGAGCAUCCGCCGGAGAAAACAACAAAUUCAAGAAAACAAGAAACCAGAAACAUGAUUGACGAACGUUCUCGCGUUUCUCUUAUCCCCGCCUCCACCGUUUCCUUUCUACCUUCUCUGCCUCUCUCUUUUUCUCCUUUCUCAUUUUUUUUUAUCCCAAUAGAUCUUAGCCCAGUCAUUUUCCAUCUCUGGGUCUCAGGUUCACCGCCUGAAAAAAUUAUAGGAUUGGACUAGAUGACGUCCAGGUCCCUUCCAGUUUUGAGUCCUUAUUUCUGUGAAACAUGUUAAGAGAUACACAAAGAAAACCGUACAAAUGAGCAUUUCAAUUGGGCAUGUAGCUAGGUGUCACAGUGGAUAGAGCAAAGGACCUGGAAUCAGGAAGGCUUAAGUUUAGAUCUGACCCCAGACGCUUACUAGCUGUGAAACAUUGGGCAUGUCAUUUAACCUCUGCAUGCCUCAGUUUCUUCAUCUGUAAAAUGGGUGUAAUAGCAUUUCCCUUCCAGGGUUGUUAUGAGGAGGGAAGGAGGGAAGGAAUAAGGAUUUCUAUAGCACUUACAGUGUACAAGUUCUUUAUAAAUAUUCUCUUUUUAAGCCCCACAACAAC